GUGCCAUAGGUUUUUGUAGAGGCUUCACCACCGGAAUUGAGAUACAGACCAGAUUCACCAUCUCCACAACCCCCACCACCAGAUUCCCUUGUGCAACCUCCUUGGAGUCACUUUCUCCCCACCUGCAUGCCCUGGCCACCGAACGUCUGGUCUCCACUCCUGCAGUCAUGUGGCACUUUAGCCUCCAUACCUGCCACUCCUGUUCCAGAGUCCCCGCACCGCUAUCUGUGUCUGGAUCACCCUGCCCUGGAUGUGCUGCUGUUUGCUCGUCCGUUUGCCCACUGAGGAUGUUUGAGGGAGCUAGCAAGCAAAAGCGAGUUAUUUCUUCUUUGAAGCUGAUGUCACUCAGGCCUGAAGGUGACCUUGACAGACCCUCUCCUAAAGCCCCAGAAUGCCCCACCUGCCCACUGUGAGUGCAUCUCGGAGAGCAGGGAUGCAGCUCUGCACACAAGCAGGAGGGAGGACUGAGUUACAGAAAUAGCAAGAUGUAAACCGCGUGCUUUUCACAGACAGACUUCAACAGAUGCCCCUGUUGGAUCGGAGCUGAUUCCUGGUUCCUGACACGGCUGAGGUUUCCCACAUUUGCAUGGAAACAACAGGGCAGAGGGAGGAGUGGGAUCCAGACAUUGUGACAUAAUCUGAGAAUCCUCACGUUUGUUGAGUACCUGCUAUGUGAUGGGGGCUGCUGAUCUUUAGGGGUUUAUGUCAUUACCAGGAACACAAGAUAGAGUUUCAAGAUUAUUAGAAAAGACAAGACAGUAUAGCAAGCAAUGUGUUAUGCAAUCUAUGACAGAGAAGCUGAACCUACUGACAGGAGUAAAAUUAACACAGACUACAGUGCUUGGGCCAGGCUCUGAGGGGUCGGAGGUGUGGCAGGAUGCAGGAGGACAGGAUGCGUGAAGAUGCAGAAAUAUGAAUGAGAAUGACAUGGUUCUCAUGUGGUACUUGGAAAGAUACAGGCUACAACAUCUUAUGCAUGGCAUAAUUCCAAUGUUGAAAAAAUUAGAAGUAUUCAGACUAUACUGUGUUCG
RNAcentral lists this long non-coding RNA (1031 nucleotides) under Cavia porcellus (domestic guinea pig). RNAcentral's name for it is "lncRNA (ENSCPOG00000031123.1)". The record is from RNAcentral. Lineage: Eukaryota; Metazoa; Chordata; Mammalia; Rodentia; Caviidae.